RNAcentral lists this ribosomal RNA (604 nucleotides) under Trichoderma harzianum. RNAcentral's name for it is "eukaryotic LSU rRNA". The stretch from base 228 to 381 matches the Rfam family "5.8S ribosomal RNA". Lineage: Eukaryota; Fungi; Ascomycota; Sordariomycetes; Hypocreales; Hypocreaceae. The record is from RNAcentral.
UUGGUGACCAGCGGAGGGAUCAUUACCGAGUUUACAACUCCCAAACCCAAUGUGAACGUUACCAAACUGUUGCCUCGGCGGGAUCUCUGCCCCGGGUGCGUCGCAGCCCCGGACCAAGGCGCCCGCCGGAGGACCAACCAAAACUCUUUUUGUAUACCCCCUCGCGGGUUUUUUUUAUAAUCUGAGCCUUCUCGGCGCCUCUCGUAGGCGUUUCGAAAAUGAAUCAAAACUUUCAACAACGGAUCUCUUGGUUCUGGCAUCGAUGAAGAACGCAGCGAAAUGCGAUAAGUAAUGUGAAUUGCAGAAUUCAGUGAAUCAUCGAAUCUUUGAACGCACAUUGCGCCCGCCGGUAUUCUGGCGGGCAUGCCUGUCCGAGCGUCAUUUCAACCCUCGAACCCCUCCGGGGGGUCGGCGUUGGGGAUCGGCCCUCCCUUAGCGGGUGGCCGUCUCCGAAAUACAGUGGCGGUCUCGCCGCAGCCUCUCCUGCGCAGUAGUUUGCACACUCGCAUCGGGAGCGCGGCGCGUCCACAGCCGUUAAACACCCAACUUCUGAAAUGUUGACCUCGGAUCAGGUAGGAAUACCCGCUGAACUUAAGCAUAUCAA